GAUCUAGCCAUGGGCAGGUUGAAGGUUGGGUAACACUAACUGGAGGACCGAACCGACUAAUGUUGAAAAAUUAGCGGAUGACCUGUGGCUGGGGGUGAAAGGCCAAUCAAACCGGGAGAUAGCUGGUUCUCCCCGAAAGCUAUUUAGGUAGCGCCUCGUGAAUUCAUCUCCGGGGGUAGAGCACUGUUUCGGCUAGGGGGCCAUCCCGGCUUACCAACCCGAUGCAAACUGCGAAUACCGGAGAAUGUUAUCACGGGAGACACACGGCGGGUGCUAACGUCCGUCGUGAAGAGGGAAACAACCCAGACCGCCAGCUAAGGUCCCAAAGUCAUGGUUAAGUGGGAAACGAUGUGGGAAGGCCCAGACAGCCAGGAUGUUGGCUUAGAAGCAGCCAUCAUUUAAAGAAAGCGUAAUAGCUCACUGGUCGAGUCGGCCUGCGCGGAAGAUGUAACGGGGCUAAACCAUGCACCGAAGCUGCGGCAGCGAACGUAUCACUUAAAGCGAUUCAGCGGGUUACGAUUGACGGAGCGAAGCGACGUCAAAGCGUAUACAAAGUCGAGUCGGUUUAAGGAUACGUUCGUUGGGUAGGGGAGCGUUCUGUAAGCCUGUGAAGGUGUGUCGUGAGGCAUGCUGGAGGUAUCAGAAGUGCGAAUGCUGACAUAAGUAACGAUAAAGCGGGUGAAAAGCCCGCUCGCCGGAAGACCAAGGGUUCCUGUCCAACGUUAAUCGGGGCAGGGUGAGUCGACCCCUAAGGCGAGGCCGAAAGGCGUAGUCGAUGGGAAACGGGUUAAUAUUCCCGUACUUGGUGUUACUGCGAAGGGGGGACGGAGAAGGCUAUGUUGGCCGGGCGACGGUUGUCCCGGUUUAAGCGUGUAGGUGUGUGUUCCAGGUAAAUCCGGUU
RNAcentral lists this ribosomal RNA (901 nucleotides) under Salmonella enterica subsp. enterica serovar Havana. RNAcentral describes it as "partial 23S ribosomal RNA". It matches the Rfam family "Bacterial large subunit ribosomal RNA", at positions 727 to 1547 of the family's 2925-position model. The record is from RNAcentral. Lineage: Bacteria; Pseudomonadati; Pseudomonadota; Gammaproteobacteria; Enterobacterales; Enterobacteriaceae.